ACAUAAUCAAUUCACCCACUACAUAAUUUUCCUAGCCAUGCAACCAUGACACAUAAGCAAGUAUGCAUGCAAGACAUAAAUAACAUCUUUUGUAUUACUAUACACAUGCAAUGGUGCCACAAAAUCAAUUCACCCACUACAUAAUUUUCCUAGCCAUGCAACCAUGACACAUAAGCAAGUAUGCAUGCAAGACAUAAAUAACAUUUUUUGUAUUACUCUACAUAUGCAAUGGUGUCACAUAAUCAAUUCAUGCAUAUUAGUCAUGAGUAGUUUUUUACAUUAGAG
RNAcentral lists this long non-coding RNA (285 nucleotides) under Hordeum vulgare. Its description in RNAcentral is "long non-coding RNA (HVUL_LNC011531)". The record is from RNAcentral. Lineage: Eukaryota; Viridiplantae; Streptophyta; Magnoliopsida; Poales; Poaceae.